AGUGAACGCUGGCGGUAGGCCUAACACAUGCAAGUCGAACGGCAGCACAGUAAGAGCUUGCUCUUACGGGUGGCGAGUGGCGGACGGGUGAGGAAUACAUCGGAAUCUACUUUUUCGUGGGGGAUAACGUAGGGAAACUUACGCUAAUACCGCAUACGACCUACGGGUGAAAGCAGGGGAUCUUCGGGCCUUUCGCGAUUGAAUGAGCCGAUGUCGGAUUAGCUAGUUGGCGGGGUAAAGGCCCACCAAGGCGACGAUCCGUAGCUGGUCUGAGAGGAUGAUCAGCCACACUGGAACUGAGACACGGUCCAGACUCCUACGGGAGGCAGCAGUGGGGAAUAUUGGACAAUGGGCGCAAGCCUGAUCCAGCCAUACCGCGUGGAUGAAGAAGGCCUUCGGGUUGUAAAGCCCUUUUGUUGGGAAAGAAAAGCAGCAGGUUAAUACCCCGCUGUUCUGACGGUACCCAAAGAAUAAGCACCGGCUAACUUCGUG
This 492-nucleotide ribosomal RNA is filed under the name uncultured bacterium. RNAcentral describes it as "partial 16S ribosomal RNA". It matches the Rfam family "Bacterial small subunit ribosomal RNA", at positions 29 to 507 of the family's 1533-position model. The record is from RNAcentral.